This 319-nucleotide ribosomal RNA is filed under the name uncultured eukaryote. RNAcentral describes it as "partial 18S ribosomal RNA". It matches the Rfam family "Eukaryotic small subunit ribosomal RNA", at positions 1470 to 1796 of the family's 1831-position model. The record is from RNAcentral.
CCCUUAGAUGUCCUGGGCCGCACGCGUGCUACACUGACGCCUACAGCGAGUACUUCCCAGCCCCGAGAGGUGGCUGGUAAUCAGCAAUAGGCGUCGUGAUGGGGAUAGAUCUUUGGAAUUAUGGAUCUUGAACGAGGAAUGCCUAGUAAGCGCAGGUCAUUAGCCUGCGCUGAUUAAGUCCCUGCCCUUUGUACACACCGCCCGUCGCUCCUACCGAUUUCGAGUGGUCCGGUAAAUCUUUCGGACUGCGCGCGGCCUCGUGCCGUGUCGCGGAAAGUCAGGUAAACCUUAUCACUUAGAGGAAGGAGAAGUCGUAACA